GCGGACUGGCAGCCAAAAGCGGCUCCGGAGCCGGGCAAUCCGGGCGGCCCCACACCUAGCAGGGCCCUGAGUUAACUUAUUUUUACUAGCAUGAUGUUUUGAGUAAUAGUUCCAAUCUUACAUAAUUAAAAACUGAGCAAAACUACAUUUAUUUAAUAUUUGUGAACUCAUUCAGCAAACUUGAAGUGUACCGACAGCCUCGUUAUUCAUCCACAGACUGCAGUGUCGUCCUUGUUAUGGUCUCAUCAGUCCGGAGUAGUGAAUAACCUAGCUGGAGGCAGCUGCCAUCUUAUUAUAGUUGAGAAUGCCAACAAACUGGUGGCUAAAAGCCCAAUUACCGGACGAGAGGAGGUCGUAAUAACGAACUUCGGCGAGUUCCAAAGGUUCUGUGAGUCGACGAAGUUUGAAGAUCAUAGCUGAAGUAAGAAGGAAUGUCCUGUUAUGAAAACAUUCAUUUUACUACUUUUUCCGCUCAUUAAUGCUGAGUAGUCAUAAAAACAUGUUUUUGAGUUAAGUUGCAUCAAUUUGCUUAUAAAA
Uloborus diversus is the source of this 537-nucleotide long non-coding RNA. RefSeq lists it as uncharacterized. The record is from RefSeq and is a predicted model, not a curated record. Lineage: Eukaryota; Metazoa; Arthropoda; Arachnida; Araneae; Uloboridae. The transcript is spliced from 3 exons.